RNAcentral lists this ribosomal RNA (339 nucleotides) under Drosophila virilis. RNAcentral describes it as "eukaryotic LSU rRNA". Lineage: Eukaryota; Metazoa; Arthropoda; Insecta; Diptera; Drosophilidae. The record is from RNAcentral.
GCCCGAUGAACCUGAAUAUCCGUUAUGGAAAAUUCAUCAUUAGAAUUGUAAUAUUUAAACAAUAUUAUAAUAAUAGUGUGCAUUUUUUCCAUAUAAGGACAUUGUAAUCUAUUAGCAUAAAUAUUUAUCAUAAAAUUAUGUCUGAUUGCUUAUUUGAAUUAUAUGCUUGGCAUUUUAACAUAAAAUAAAAGAUAUAAAUUUGAUAAAGUGCUGAUAGAUUUAUAUGAUUACAGUGCGUUAAUUUUUCGGAAUUAUAUAAUGGCAUAAUUAUCAUUGAUAUUUGUGUUUAUUAUAUGCAUUUGUAUGAUUAACAAUGCGAAAGAUUCAGGAUACUUCGGG